UAUAUUAGCUACAAUGCAAUAAUAAUUCAAACAAAGAUGCACGCAAUAUUAAGCACAGAAAGAAAAAUAGAAUCAUGGAGCAAAGUUAACAUAAACAUAAAAUUUACAAAGUUUCAUUUGAAAGCAACAAAACUGAAAUGGGCCGUGAAAAAAAAAAUUACCCAAUUUUCGAAGAGGAAAGACCCAAAAAUUGAGAAUUGAAACUCACUACCUUGAAGAGUGAUGGAUAUAGUAAGGAAUUGAACAAAAAAAUUAACAAUUCUGCUAGGGAACUAAGAGGGGUCCAGCUAACUUUCUGCCAACUUCUAUUGAGCUGAACCCCAAGCUCAUUUACCAUAUAAGAAAAAAGCAACAUCCAAAUUAACCCUAGUUAACCUUCACCUUUCACCUUUUCCUUACAGCAACAUCCAAAACCCUCCAAUGGUUGUGCCUCCCUCCCACGUUCGUCGUACGCAUUUACUAGCCAGAGUCUAGGGCCGCAGCAGCUCCGUCCCGUCCAUGUGCAAGCAACGGCGGUGGUUAGAAGUUCGCGCCAGACCGCUGCAGCGCCUCCGUCCCGCCCACGCGCGAGCAACCGCGGGGAGUCAGAAGCCCACCCCAGACCGCUACUACUGCUGCAUGUUGUCGUCGCCGCACCAUUGAAGCCUUCCUUUCUCAUCCGGUUCACUCGGCAUUACCUCCCAUGAUCUGCCCCCACGAGAGCCGCGUCGGACUCCUCCAAGUCGCACCGUGAAGCCUCACUGAAAAAUACUCCUCGGGACAUCCUGAAGAGCCGAGCGCAAUAUGAAAAAAUCUACAUCAGAUGUUUCUUUUGUUAAACAAAUGAAUAUUUCUUUUUAUACUAAAUAGAUGAUUCUUAUUUAAGGUGGAGAUUAACUUUGAAGUAAUUGAACGCAUAUUGUACUUAUUGAUUCAAUUAUUGUAACUUAUGAGCAUUUUUAUAGUUAAUAUAUAAUAGACAUCUAUGGCUAUUUAGUUGUUGUA
Molecule: non-coding RNA, 984 nt
Organism: Arachis ipaensis
Lineage: Eukaryota; Viridiplantae; Streptophyta; Magnoliopsida; Fabales; Fabaceae
Source: RefSeq, a predicted model, not a curated record